Molecule: ribosomal RNA, 466 nt
Filed under: uncultured bacterium
Lineage: Bacteria
Description: partial 16S ribosomal RNA
Rfam family: Bacterial small subunit ribosomal RNA
Source: RNAcentral
GAUGAACGCUGGCGGCGUGCUUAACACAUGCAAGUCGAACGAUGAAGCCCAGCUUGCUGGGUGGCUUAGUGGCGAACGGGUGAGUAACACGUGAGUAACCUGCCCUUAACUCUGGGAUAAGCCUGGGAAACUGGGUCUAAUACCGGAUAGGAGCGUCCACCGCAUGGUGGGUGUUGGAAAGAUUUAUCGGUUUUGGAUGGACUCGCGGCCUAUCAGCUUGUUGGUGAGGUAAUGGCUCACCAAGGCGACGACGGGUAGCCGGCCUGGGCGGGUGACCGGCCACGCUGGGACGGAGACACGGCCCAGACUAGUAUGGGAGGCAGCAGAGGAGAAUAGUAUACAAUGGGAGCAAGCCUGAUGCAGCGAAGCCGCGUGGGGGAUGACGGCCUUCGGGUUGGAAACCUAUGUCAGUAGGGAAGAAGCGAAAGUGACGGUACCGGCAGAAGAAGCUCCGGCUAACUACGUG